AAAUAUACCGACUUUGCGCUUAAAUGUGAAGUGUUUGUCACAGUGUUCGAAGCAGAUUCAAGACCGUUAAAUUGACAACAAUGACAAUCAAAAAGAAUACCACAAAGCUUCUGAAGCACCAAAACUGUGGCAACAUAUUCAGGCUGCUAAGAAGGUGUCAAUCAACAAGAGUUACAACUGAUUGAAUGUGCCUUUAUUUAAUUAACAAUGUUAAAUGUGUUGUUAUUAUUAAUACUACUGUUAUUAAAUCAAUUCCUUUAACAUACUGUAAA
Long non-coding RNA from Dreissena polymorpha, 272 nucleotides. RefSeq lists it as uncharacterized. The transcript is spliced from 2 exons. The record is from RefSeq and is a predicted model, not a curated record. NCBI's taxonomy places the organism in Eukaryota, Metazoa, Mollusca, Bivalvia, Myida, Dreissenidae.